GAUGAACGCUGGCGGCGUGCUUAACACAUGCAAGUCGAACGGUGAAGGCGGAGCUUGCUCUGCUGGAUCAGUGGCGAACGGGUGAGUAACACGUGAGCAAUCUGCCCCUGACUCUGGGAUAAGCGCUCGAAACGGCGUCUAAUACUGGAUACGAGCUGCGAAGGCAUCUUCAGCAGCUGGAAAGAACUUCGGUCAGGGAUGAGCUCGCGGCCUAUCAGCUUGUUGGUGAGGUAACGGCUCACCAAGGCGUCGACGGGUAGCCGGCCUGAGAGGGUGACCGGCCACACUGGGACUGAGACACGGCCCAGACUCCUACGGGAGGCAGCAGUGGGGAAUAUUGCACAAUGGGCGAAAGCCUGAUGCAGCAACGCCGCGUGAGGGACGACGGCCUUCGGGUUGUAAACCUCUUUUAGCAGGGAAGAAGCGAAAGUGACGGUACCUGCAGAAAAAGCGCCGGCUAACUACGUG
Molecule: ribosomal RNA, 468 nt
Filed under: uncultured bacterium
Lineage: Bacteria
Description: partial 16S ribosomal RNA
Rfam family: Bacterial small subunit ribosomal RNA
Source: RNAcentral